UGAGGAAUAUUGGACAAUGGGCGCAAGCCUGAUCCAGCCAUGCCGCGUGCAGGAUGAAGGCCUUCGGGUUGUAAACUGCUUUUGUACGGAACGAAAAGACUCCUUCUAAUAAAGGGGGUCCAUGACGGUACCGUAAGAAUAAGCACCGGCUAACUACGUGCCAGCGGCCGCGGUAAUACGUAGGGUGCGAGCGUUAAUCGGAAUUACUGGGCGUAAAGCGUGCGCAGACGGUCUUGUAAGACAGUCGUGAAAGCCCCGGGCUUAACCUGGGACCUGCAUUUGUGGAUGUAUAGCUAGAGUACGGUAGAGGGGGAUGGAAUUCCGCGUGUAGCAGUGAAAUGCGUAGAUAUGCGGAGGAACACCGAUGGCGGAGGCAAUCCCCUGGACCUGUAAUGACGCUCAUGCACGAAAGCGUGGGGAGCAAACA
This 427-nucleotide ribosomal RNA is filed under the name uncultured bacterium. RNAcentral describes it as "bacterial SSU rRNA". It matches the Rfam family "Bacterial small subunit ribosomal RNA", at positions 355 to 774 of the family's 1533-position model. The record is from RNAcentral.